Molecule: unclassified non-coding RNA, 148 nt
Filed under: uncultured fungus
Lineage: Eukaryota; Fungi
Description: sequence contains ITS1
Source: RNAcentral
GGAGGCGAGCGACACCGCGUGGGGUUGGGGGUCCCUGUACCAUUCUGGGUGGACGUCGCACCACAUUUAUGUCAACGAGCAUCGUGGAAAGGAGUGGUCAGCGCCGGAGCGCCGAAGGCGCGAAGGCGCCCAGAGAGAUCUUGGAUGU